GUGACAGAAGAGAGUGAGCACACAUGGUUGUUUUCUUGCAUUAAUUUCAUGCUUGAAGCUAUGCGUGCUUACUCUCUAUCUGUCUC
RNAcentral lists this microRNA precursor (86 nucleotides) under Spinacia oleracea (spinach). RNAcentral's name for it is "mir-156 microRNA precursor family". It matches the Rfam family "mir-156 microRNA precursor family". Rfam says of the family: This family represents the plant microRNA (miRNA) precursor mir-156. Lineage: Eukaryota; Viridiplantae; Streptophyta; Magnoliopsida; Caryophyllales; Amaranthaceae. The record is from Rfam by way of RNAcentral.